This 135-nucleotide non-coding RNA is filed under the name Gorilla gorilla gorilla (western lowland gorilla). Lineage: Eukaryota; Metazoa; Chordata; Mammalia; Primates; Hominidae. The record is from Rfam by way of RNAcentral.
GCCGGGCGUGGUGGUGCAUGCCUGUAAUCCCAGCUACUUGGGAGGCUGAGGCAGGAGAAUCGCUUGAACCCGGGAGGCAAAGGUUGUGGUGCCACUGCACUCCAGCCUGGGCAACAGAGCGAGAUGCUGCCUCAA